RNAcentral lists this long non-coding RNA (249 nucleotides) under Setaria italica (foxtail millet). RNAcentral's name for it is "long non-coding RNA (SITA_LNC007108)". The record is from RNAcentral. Lineage: Eukaryota; Viridiplantae; Streptophyta; Magnoliopsida; Poales; Poaceae.
GUGGCGGCGCGCGAUCCAGUGGAUGAUAGGAUUAUUGACUCUCAAGCUCCAAGCCAUGAUUGCCAUCCGAUCCGAUCCGCCGUUAGCUCAAGGACAGACGGCCCCGCAAGAAUCUCAAUUAAGCUUUUCAUUUUUUGCUCUGCCUCGCUUCUUCUUUUCGUUUUGGGGAAGCAGGGCAAAAGAUGGUGCCGUGAUCUCUUCUUCUAUGAUGUUUCUACGACAAACAACCUCCUUGACACUCAAUAUUAC